CAGCAGCCGCGGUAAUACCGGCGGCCCGAGUGGCGGUCACUAUUAUUGGGCUUAAAGCGUCCGUAGCCGGGUUGGGAAGUCCUCCGGGAAAUCUGGCCGCUUAACGGUCAGAAUGCCGGAGGAUACUCCCAGCCUAGGGAGCGGGAGAGGCCGAGGGGAUUCCCGGGGUAGGGGGGAAAUCCUAUAAUCCCGGGAGGACCACCUGUGGCGAAGGCGCUCGGCUGGAACGCGUCCGACGGUGAGGGACGAAGGCCAGGGGAGCAAACCGGAUUAGAUACCCGGGUAGUCCUGGCUGUAAACGAUGCGGACUUUGUGUCGGACAAGCUAUGAGCUUGUCCGGUGCCGGAGGGAAACCGUUAAGUCCGCCGCCUGGGGAGUACGGCCGCAAGGCUGAAACUUAAAGGAAUUGGCGGG
This 414-nucleotide ribosomal RNA is filed under the name uncultured microorganism. RNAcentral's name for it is "bacterial SSU rRNA". It matches the Rfam family "Archaeal small subunit ribosomal RNA", at positions 459 to 872 of the family's 1478-position model. The record is from RNAcentral.